RNAcentral lists this ribosomal RNA (253 nucleotides) under uncultured bacterium. RNAcentral's name for it is "partial 16S ribosomal RNA". It matches the Rfam family "Bacterial small subunit ribosomal RNA", at positions 524 to 776 of the family's 1533-position model. The record is from RNAcentral.
UACGUAGGGGGCUAACGUUGUCCGGAAUCAUUGGGCGUAAAGAGCGUGUAGGCGGCCCGGUAAGUCCGCUGUAAAAGUCAAAGGCUCAACCUUUGAAUGUCAGUGGAUACUGCCGGGCUAGAGUCCGGAAGAGGCGAGUGGAACUCCUGGUGUAGCGGUGGAAUGCGCAGAUAUCAGGAAGAACACCAACGGCGAAGGCAGCUCGCUGGGACGGUACUGACGCUGAGACGCGAAAGCGUGGGGAGCGAACAGG